This 113-nucleotide non-coding RNA is filed under the name Carlito syrichta (Philippine tarsier). The record is from RNAcentral. Lineage: Eukaryota; Metazoa; Chordata; Mammalia; Primates; Tarsiidae.
GAAUUGUGUGAAGGUAGUAAGUUAUCUCAAUUGUUUGUUCACAGUCAAUAACAGAUGGAACUCCAUGUUCUACUCUUUACCCCCUUUUCCCUACUGCACUUGACUUGUCUUAG